RNAcentral lists this ribosomal RNA (674 nucleotides) under Plasmodium ovale (malaria parasite P. ovale). RNAcentral's name for it is "SSU rRNA". It matches the Rfam family "Eukaryotic small subunit ribosomal RNA", at positions 771 to 1404 of the family's 1831-position model. Lineage: Eukaryota; Apicomplexa; Aconoidasida; Haemosporida; Plasmodiidae. The record is from RNAcentral.
ACAGUUAAAGCAUUUUUACUGCGUUUGAAUACUACAGCAUGGAAUAACAAAAUUGAACAAGCCAGAAUUCUGUUCUUUUUUCUUAUUUUGGCUUAGUUACGAUUAAUAGGAGUAGCUUGGGGGCAUUUGUAUUCAGAUGUCAGAGGUGAAAUUCUUAGAUUUUCUGGAGACAAACAACUGCGAAAGCAUUUGCCUAAAAUAUUUCCAUUAAUCAAGAACGAAAGUUAAGGGAGUGAAGACGAUCAGAUACCGUCGUAAUCUUAACCAUAAACUAUACCAACUAGGUUUUGGAUGAAAAGUUUUUAAAUAAGAGAAUUCCUUUCGGGGAAAUUUCUUAGAUUGCUUCUUUCAGUACCUUAUGAGAAAUCAAAGUCUUUGGGUUCUGGGGCGAGUAUUCGCGCAAGCGAGAAAGUUAAAAGAAUUGACGGAAGGGCACCACCAGGCGUGGAGCUUGCGGCUUAAUUUGACUCAACACGGGGAAACUCACUAGUUUAAGACAAGAGUAGGAUUGACAGAUUAAUAGCUCUUUCUUGAUUUCUUGGAUGGUGAUGCAUGGCCGUUUUUAGUUCGUGAAUAUGAUUUGUUUGGUUAAUUCCGAUAACGAACGAGAUCUUAACCUGCUAAUUAGCGGCGAAUACGUUAUAUUCUUAUGUGAAAUUGAAUAUAGCUGAAUU